RNAcentral lists this ribosomal RNA (497 nucleotides) under uncultured bacterium. RNAcentral describes it as "partial 16S ribosomal RNA". It matches the Rfam family "Bacterial small subunit ribosomal RNA", at positions 28 to 507 of the family's 1533-position model. The record is from RNAcentral.
GACGAACGCUGGCGGCGUGCCUAAUACAUGCAAGUAGAACGCUGAAGCGAGGAGCUUGCUCUUCUUGGAUGAGUUGCGAACGGGUGAGUAACGCGUAGGUAACCUGCCUUGUAGCGGGGGAUAACUAUUGGAAACGAUAGCUAAUACCGCAUAACAAUGGAUGACCCAUGUCAUUUAUUUGAAAGGGGCAAAUGCUCCACUACAAGAUGGACCUGCGUUGUAUUAGCUAGUAGGUGAGGUAACGGCUCACCUAGGCGACGAUACAUAGCCGACCUGAGAGGGUGAUCGGCCACACUGGGACUGAGACACGGCCCAGACUCCUACGGGAGGCAGCAGUAGGGAAUCGUCGGCAAUGGGGGCAACCCUGACCGAGCAACGCCGCGGGAGUGAAGAAGGUUUUCGGAUCGUAAAGCUCUGUUGUAAGUCAAGAACGAGUGUGAGAGUGGAAAGUUCACACUGUGACGGUAGCUUACCAGAAAGGGACGGCUAACUACGUG